UACGAAGGGGGCUAGCGUUGCUCGGAUUGACUGGGCGUAAAGGGCGCGUAGGCGGAUAGUACAGUCAGGCGUGAAAUCCCUCGGCUUAACCGGGGAACUGCGUCUGAUACUGGAUGGCUUGAGAUUGGGAGAGGGAUGCGGAAUUCCAGGUGUAGCGGUGAAAUGCGUAGAUAUCUGGAGGAACACCGGUGGCGAAGGCGACAUCCUGGACCAACACUGACGCUGAGGAGCGAAAGCCAGGGGAGCAAACGGG
Molecule: ribosomal RNA, 253 nt
Filed under: uncultured bacterium
Lineage: Bacteria
Description: partial 16S ribosomal RNA
Rfam family: Bacterial small subunit ribosomal RNA
Source: RNAcentral